GGUGAGAUGGCUCAAUGGGUAAGAGCACCCGACUGUUCUUCCGAAGGUCCAGAGUUCAAAUCCCAGCAACCA
Molecule: transfer RNA, 72 nt
Filed under: Mus musculus (house mouse)
Lineage: Eukaryota; Metazoa; Chordata; Mammalia; Rodentia; Muridae
Description: tRNA-Asn
Source: RNAcentral